AGUGAAGUCAUUAACCACGUUUAAACAUCUCUUCUCACAGAUGAUAAUCUAUUAAGUAAAAUUAAUUACACAGUAUUGUCUAAUUAUUAUCUCCAUAAAAAUCAUCCAAUCUUAAUUUGGUUAUAUAUCCACAUAGGAAAACAUCAAUAAGGUAAUACGGGGAAAGUAGAGCAAAACCCCUUCAGGAGGCUGGUAUUAUUAGGAGGGGACAAACACUGCCUUAUAGGCUAACCAUGUUAUAGUAGGCUUUGAGGAAGAUAAUUAGAUUUGCAAAGUAGAUAAUUCUGCGUAAUACCAAGCCAUAGUAAAAGGGGACUCUAAGGUAGAUGAACAAAAAUUGUAAUGAGAGGGAAAAUACUAUUUUCCUAAUUAGCGAUACAAUGCUUGGCAAAUAGAUUUGGUAUGGUUUUAAAAUGUACAAGAGGUGAAAAAAAAAAUCACCAUUUUAACUUCCCUCAAAAUCAUGCAUACAGGUUUUUUUUUUUUAACACAAUACAUUCUGGGAUACAAAUCACAAUAAACAGUUGCUAUAAUUUAAAUGUAUAUCUUAAAAUUAACAUGUAUAAUAAUUAGGCAUAAAGAUAAAGAAUCCUCUACAUAUAAGUAAUACCAAUGGGGGAAAGGUCUACUUUAGACUGAAAAAAUUAGUCACAAGUCACCUGGAAAGUGUACAAGUGAAUGAAACUUUUAUGCAAAAUUUCAGAGGCAUUAGAAAUAUCUCCGUAUUUAAUACAGUAUGAAAUGUACUAAGCAGGUAUACAAUGCUCUUGCACGGCAUAAUUACUAGAUGAUAUUGUUACACAGCGCUUUACUGAUCUGAUUUUUCAUCUAGAUUAUCCCUUAAUCUGAAGACCACAGUUUUAAGAUUCCAAUGCCUACACUUCAGUAACAGUACUAGUAGCAAGUUAGUGUUUUCCCCCUUGUAAUAUUUGCAAAAGACAAAAACAAAAACUCAAUAAGCAAAGCUGUGUGUUUUAUUUAAAGUACUACUAAAGAAGGAUUUAAGUUGCAGUUAUGCAUGGCACACUCUUCUCUUGGGAAGAGUGUCUUUUGCACCGUUAUCUGUUAAUACAUUCAAUAUGAAUAAUAUAGAUUAAUUAUAUGAAGCAAAAAACCCACUUUUUUUUUCUUAUGGCAAAGGGCUUAAGUUAAAUUUAGACU
This 1161-nucleotide long non-coding RNA is filed under the name Canis lupus familiaris (dog). RNAcentral's name for it is "lncRNA (ENSCAFG00000056250.1, ENSCAFG00845000465.1)". Lineage: Eukaryota; Metazoa; Chordata; Mammalia; Carnivora; Canidae. The record is from RNAcentral.